This 434-nucleotide long non-coding RNA is filed under the name Mytilus galloprovincialis (Mediterranean mussel). The record is from RNAcentral. Lineage: Eukaryota; Metazoa; Mollusca; Bivalvia; Mytilida; Mytilidae.
CCCCCUCAGUUCUAAAGACUGCUUAAUAAAGACUCCAAUAUGACAAACAAGUUCAGGGAUGGGCUUUAGAAUGUGUUUUAGUUGAUUAAAUGUGUCAAGAUUUUGAAAUAAUGGUACAUAUUCUUUUAGAUAAGCAAAAAGAUUAGAACGCAAUGAUAUGUUAAUGUCACAACACAUUAAUAAUUAUCAUUAUACAGAGUUAAUAUUAACCUAGUUGUUUUAAACGAGUUGACGAGUUUAACAAUACAAAACGCUUGUGAUCGGAGUUAUCAAGACUACUAAUGAACGUUUCCUGAAUUUUGUUUAUUGACAAUAAAGGUUUAACAACAUGAAAUUAGGCAAAAGUUUUAAACAUUACGUAUACGUUUAUGGAUAAUUGCCACGUUGGCAGUCUAAUAAAAACGCAUAUGAUGUGCAAGGGGUUGGAAAUCAAA